Molecule: long non-coding RNA, 804 nt
Organism: Rhododendron vialii
Lineage: Eukaryota; Viridiplantae; Streptophyta; Magnoliopsida; Ericales; Ericaceae
Exons: 3
Source: RefSeq, a predicted model, not a curated record
AUAAGAAUUUUUGGAGACCGGAAUUUGUACGCGAACGAACCAGAAUAGCGACGAUCGGGCGCGAAGCGCCACGUGGUGCUUUGUGGUGACAUGUGGCAUGCAUGGGUGAAAUGGGUGUUGAUUCUACUUUUGAAUCCACCGAAGUAUAUAUAUUCAUGUAUAAGGAUAUUAUAUUUGUUAAUUAUGUUUAGUAAUUAGGAUAUCAACCUCACUCCUGUUUUCUUCCACCCUUUACACACAUACAGAGAGAGUGAGACAGAGAGCAAAGGAAGAAAAAAGAGAAGAAGAAGAACGAACUCCUGUAGUCGACUACUACCCCGUCGAACAUGCCACUCAUCGAAAGACUCCAUUGCCGAACUCCCUUUUUCUCUCUCUUCUGGUGCAAGUAUUAUGGAGUGAAGUGAUCGCGUGUUAAAGCUAAACGCUACUUCUUUUUGGGGACGGGUAAAGAUACUAGUGGCGUGAAGUAAUAAGGUAAGAGAUGCAGCCAGGCAUCACCGGGUAAUGAUAUCUUACCACUCUUUAAUGGGGUCGCUCCUCGACCGACUGGCAAUAAAUCCCGUUGAAUGCUAUUAUCGUUCAAAAGUGCAAAAGUUGAAAAAGAAAUGAAAUGAAAAAGGUCCAUCUCUUGGACCGAAGAAAUGAGCUUUCGGACAAAAAUGCUUGUACUGGAUGGUCAACGAAAUAUUUGAAUUGUUGCUUUGAACUAUUUUGUAAUGUGGGGUAUUUCCAUGGUCAAACUUGUAACUUUGGUAUACAUUUCUCACCCGAGCUUUGGCUUAUGAAUACCUUUUCCAAUUUUUC